GCGUUAAUCGGAAUUACUGGGCGUAAAGCGUGCGCAGGCGGUUGUGCAAGACAGAUGUGAAAUCCCCGGGCUCAACCUGGGAACUGCAUUUGUGACUGCACGACUAGAGUACGGCAGAGGGGGGUAGAAUUCCACGUGUAGCAGUGAAAUGCGUAGAGAUGUGGAGGAAUACCGAUGGCGAAGGCAGCCCCCUGGGCCGAUACUGACGCUCAUGCACGAAAGCGUG
This 226-nucleotide ribosomal RNA is filed under the name uncultured bacterium. RNAcentral describes it as "partial 16S ribosomal RNA". It matches the Rfam family "Bacterial small subunit ribosomal RNA", at positions 538 to 763 of the family's 1533-position model. The record is from RNAcentral.